GACGAACGCUGGCGGCGUGCCUAACACAUGCAAGUCGAACGGAGUUAAGUGCUUCGGUAUUUAACUUAGUGGCGAACGGGUGAGUAACGCGUGAGAAACCUGCCUUUCAGUGGGGGACAACAGUUGGAAACGACUGCUAAUACCGCAUGAUACUUUUUGGGGGCGAUCCCUAAAAAGUACAAAGCUUUAUGUGCUGAAAGAUGGUCUCGCGUCUGAUUAGCUAGUUGGUGAGGUAAUGGCUCACCAAGGCGACGAUCAGUAGCCGGUCUGAGAGGAUGAACGGCCACAUUGGGACUGAGAUACGGCCCAG
RNAcentral lists this ribosomal RNA (310 nucleotides) under uncultured bacterium. RNAcentral describes it as "bacterial SSU rRNA". It matches the Rfam family "Bacterial small subunit ribosomal RNA", at positions 28 to 334 of the family's 1533-position model. The record is from RNAcentral.